RNAcentral lists this ribosomal RNA (595 nucleotides) under uncultured Bacteroidota bacterium. RNAcentral describes it as "bacterial SSU rRNA". It matches the Rfam family "Bacterial small subunit ribosomal RNA", at positions 122 to 715 of the family's 1533-position model. The record is from RNAcentral. Lineage: Bacteria; Pseudomonadati; Bacteroidota.
CAACCUGCCGUCUACUCUUGGACAGCCUUCUGAAAGGAAGAUUAAUACAAGAUGGCAUCAUGAGUCCGCAUGUUCACAUGAUUAAAGGUAUUCCGGUAGACGAUGGGGAUGCGUUCCAUUAGAUAGUAGGCGGGGUAACGGCCCACCUAGUCUUCGAUGGAUAGGGGUUCUGAGAGGAAGGUCCCCCACAUUGGAACUGAGACACGGUCCAAACUCCUACGGGAGGCAGCAGUGAGGAAUAUUGGUCAAUGGGCGAGAGCCUGAACCAGCCAAGUAGCGUGAAGGAUGACUGCCCUAUGGGUUGUAAACUUCUUUUAUAAAGGAAUAAAGUCGGGUAUGGAUACCCGUUUGCAUGUACUUUAUGAAUAAGGAUCGGCUAACUCCGUGCCAGCAGCCGCGGUAAUACGGAGGAUCCGAGCGUUAUCCGGAUUUAUUGGGUUUAAAGGGAGCGUAGAUGGAUGUUUAAGUCAGUUGUGAAAGUUUGCGGCUCAACCGUAAAAUUGCAGUUGAUACUGGAUAUCUUGAGUGCAGUUGAGGCAUGCGGAAUUCGUGGUGUAGCGGUGAAAUGCUUAGAUAUCACGAAGAACUCCGAUUG